UACGUAGGGGGCUAGCGUUGUCCGGAAUCAUUGGGCGUAAAGCGCGUGUAGGCGGUCCGGUAAGUCCGCUGUGAAAGUCGGGGGCUCAACCCUCGGAUGCCGGUGGAUACUGUCGGGCUUGAGUACGGAAGAGGCGAGUGGAAUUCCUGGUGUAGCGGUGAAAUGCGCAGAUAUCAGGAGGAACACCGAUGGCGAAGGCAGCUCGCUGGGACGGUACUGACGCUGAGGCGCGAAAGCGUGGGGAGCGAACAGG
RNAcentral lists this ribosomal RNA (253 nucleotides) under uncultured bacterium. Its description in RNAcentral is "partial 16S ribosomal RNA". It matches the Rfam family "Bacterial small subunit ribosomal RNA", at positions 524 to 776 of the family's 1533-position model. The record is from RNAcentral.